This 1104-nucleotide long non-coding RNA is filed under the name Oryctolagus cuniculus (rabbit). RNAcentral describes it as "lncRNA (ENSOCUG00000037439.1)". The record is from RNAcentral. Lineage: Eukaryota; Metazoa; Chordata; Mammalia; Lagomorpha; Leporidae.
AUGCAAACUAGUUUCAGCGGCAGCCGCAGGGCGGGUGUAUUACUGGGUGAGUCACAGCUCCCCUCCUCCUUCUUUCCAGAACAACCUGGAGGCACCUCGGAUUCGGCAGAGGGCUGCACCUCUGUGAGCCCGGAUGGGCAGGCGGCGCCUGCCUGGCAGCGCCCUCAGGAAGUUGCUCAACGGGGCGUUCAGAGCCGCCCAAGCACGUCCGCCCGCCCGGGCGCCCUCCCCACUCGGUGCCACCUUGCGUGGCCCACCCUGGCGGGCGGUCACCGGGCGGGAAGCGCCACGUGCUCCCUACGGCAUGGUGGCUUUCGAGCGAGCGGGGUUCUAGGGCUGGCUUCUGGGGGCGCAGGCCGUGGCUCCAGGUGUGCAGCGGGAACGUGGCUUCCAGAGGGGAGCGGCUGGGGGAGAAUCGGGGUGCGGCCUCGCGGGUGGCCUCUGCCCUGGCGGGGGUCCCUGCCCUCCCGGCUCCAAGGCCUGUGCUCAUUCCGUGAAAGACUGGAUUUGGAGUGGAAGACAGCACUGGCAUCCAGUUGCCCUGCCUCCCCGGAACGUUCCCUGUGCCCGUGUUUUGUAUGGCGCGCCCUGGUUAACCUUCCUAAAACCGGCAGCUGGGCUGUCUCGGGUGCUGUGCCGUUCUCCGGUGCUCAGAGCUGGAACGUGUCGGCUUGGCGGGCCGCGCUCCCCGCCAUGACGGCUUCUACGGCCAGAUCCCUCUCCUCGUGUUCUGGAACUUCCCAGGGUCCAUGCAGCCCGGGGGGCCUUGAGGACAGGGCUCUCGUCCUCCCACCUCUGCCUGGUGUCCAGCAGAGCUGUCCAGGGAGCGGCCUCGCCCACCCUUGUCUGGCCCCCUGGCCCCGAGUUCUACCGUUGGGGGCUCCCUCUGCCCUCCUGAAAUCCAGGCCAGCUGUUUCCCGGAUUGUGGGACACCUGACGUGCUGUGAACAGAGACUUCUGGGACCAAGCGAGAGGGCUGGCACCCCCCCCCACCCCCCCGUAGUCAGCGCCCCGUUCCUGAGGCGUGGACUCUGGUGGGACUGCACAGGCCAGCUGUUUGGCCUUGCGGAAACCCGUUUGUAUCCCAAAUGGACUUGGCCAUGA